AUACGGAGGAUCCGAGCGUUAUCCGGAUUUAUUGGGUUUAAAGGGUGCGCAGGCGGCCAUUUAAGUCAGCGGUUAAAUCGUGGGGCUCAACCCCAUUCUGCCGUUGAUACUGGGUGGCUUGAUUGCGGUCGAGGUUGGCGGAAUUCGUUGUGUAGCGGUGAAAUGCAUAGAUAUGACGAAGAACACCGAUUGCGUAGGCAGCUGACCAGACCGCAAAUGACGCUCAUGCACGAAAGUGCGGGGAUCGAACAGGAUUAGAUACCCUGGUAGUCCGCACAGUAAACGAUGAAUACUUGUUUCGGCGAUAUAAUGUCGGAGGCAAAGCGAAAGCGAUAAGUAUUCCACCUGGGGAGUACGCCGGCAACGGUGAAACUCAAAGGAAUUGACGGGG
Molecule: ribosomal RNA, 391 nt
Filed under: uncultured bacterium
Lineage: Bacteria
Description: partial 16S ribosomal RNA
Rfam family: Bacterial small subunit ribosomal RNA
Source: RNAcentral